GAUGAACGCUGGCGGCGUGCCUAAUACAUGCAAGUCGAGCGAACAGAUGAGAAGCUUGCUUCUCUGAUGUUAGCGGCGGACGGGUGAGUAACACGUGGGUAACCUACCUAUAAGACUGGGAUAACUCCGGGAAACCGGGGCUAAUACCGGAUAAUAUUUUGAACCGCAUGGUUCAAUAGUGAAAGACGGUUUCGGCUGUCACUUAUAGAUGGACCCGCGCCGUAUUAGCUAGUUGGUAAGGUAACGGCUUACCAAGGCGACGAUACGUAGCCGACCUGAGAGGGUGAUCUGCCACACUGGAACUGAGACACGGUCCAGACUCCUACGGGAGGCAGCAGUAGGGAAUCUUCCGCAAUGGGCGAAAGCCUGACGGAGCAACGCCGCGUGAUUGAUGAAGGUCUUCGGAUCGUAAAACUCUGUUGUUAGGGAAGAACAAAUUUGUUAGUAACUGAACAAGUCUUGACGGUACCUAACCAGAAAGCCACGGCUAACUACGUGCCAGCCGCCGCGGUAA
This 514-nucleotide ribosomal RNA is filed under the name uncultured bacterium. Its description in RNAcentral is "partial 16S ribosomal RNA". It matches the Rfam family "Bacterial small subunit ribosomal RNA", at positions 28 to 523 of the family's 1533-position model. The record is from RNAcentral.